Molecule: small RNA, 331 nt
Filed under: Arabidopsis thaliana (thale cress)
Lineage: Eukaryota; Viridiplantae; Streptophyta; Magnoliopsida; Brassicales; Brassicaceae
Description: ATSL196380
Source: RNAcentral
UCCAACUUGACAAAUAAAUGAAAUCCCUUAUUGUUAAAAAAAAGUACAAAUUGAAAAAUAGAUAAUUUUGGCCUCAAUUUCAAUUUUGGAUUUUGUACAUAGCCAUUAAGAAUAAUUUGGUCAAUUCAAUCUAUUAAAGUUUAUAUGAUCCACAUUUUUAAUUUCGGGUGGGUUAGGAAUAAUAGUCACUUAUUCACGAAUUCAAAUACCUAAUCAUGUUUAGCAUCCAAAGUAGACAAUCUUAACCGUUCAACAAUAUUGGUAUCACUACUUCAUUUUGGUAUCUAAAUAUGAGCAUAUUUCAUUCCAAAAAGAAUUAUAAUCACAAAAA